AGCGGCGGACGGGUGAGUAACGCGUGGGCAACCUGCCUUACACAGGGGGAUAACAGUUAGAAAUGACUGCUAAUACCGCAUAAGACCACAGGACUGCAUGGUCCGGUGGUAAAAACUCCGGUGGUGUAAGAUGGGCCCGCGUCUGAUUAGGUAGUUGGCGGGGUAACGGCCCACCAAGCCGACGAUCAGUAGCCGACCUGAGAGGGUGACCGGCCACAUUGGGACUGAGACACGGCCCAGACUCCUACGGGAGGCAGCAG
RNAcentral lists this ribosomal RNA (260 nucleotides) under uncultured bacterium. RNAcentral describes it as "partial 16S ribosomal RNA". It matches the Rfam family "Bacterial small subunit ribosomal RNA", at positions 94 to 354 of the family's 1533-position model. The record is from RNAcentral.